GAAACGCUGCAUUUUAAUAGAAUGCAGCCUGACUUAACCCGGAGAGGAAGCAGUGGCUAACUCUGUGCCAGCAGCCGCGGUAAUACAGAGACUGCAAGCGUUAUUCGGAUUCACUGGGCGUAAAGGGUGCGCAGGCGGCCAAGUGUGUGAGGCGUGAAAGCCCGGGGCUUAACCCCGGAAUUGCACCUCAAACUACAUGGCUAGAGCAUUGGAGAGGGUAGCAGAAUUCAUGGUGUAGCAGUGAAAUGCGUAGAUAUCAUGAGGAAUACCAGAGGCGAAGGCGGCUACCUGGACAAUUGCUGACGCUCAGGCACGAAAGCGUGGGGAGCAAAAGGGAUUAGAUACCCCUGUAGUCCACGCCCUAAACGGUGCACACUAGGUCUUGGCGGAUUCGACCCCGCCAGGGCCCAAGCUAACGCGUUAAGUGUGCCGCCUGAGGACUACGGCCGCAAGGCUA
RNAcentral lists this ribosomal RNA (457 nucleotides) under uncultured Verrucomicrobiota bacterium. Its description in RNAcentral is "bacterial SSU rRNA". It matches the Rfam family "Bacterial small subunit ribosomal RNA", at positions 447 to 896 of the family's 1533-position model. Lineage: Bacteria; Pseudomonadati; Verrucomicrobiota. The record is from RNAcentral.